GCCCUUAGAGUUUGAUCCUGGCUCAGAUUGAACGCUGGCGGAAUGCUUUACACAUGCAAGUCGAGCGGCAGCGCGGGGCAACCUGGCGGCGAGCGGCGAACGGGUGAGUAAUGCAUCGGAACGUACCCAGUCGUGGGGGAUAACGUAGCGAAAGUUACGCUAAUACCGCAUACGUCCUGAGGGAGAAAGCGGGGGACCGAAAGGCCUCGCGCGAUUGGAGCGGCCGAUGUCUGAUUAGCUAGUUGGUGGGGUAAAGGCCUACCAAGGCGACGAUCAGUAGCGGGUCUGAAAGGAUGAUCCGCCACACUGGGACUGGAACACGGCCCAAACUCCUACGGGAGGCAGCAGUGGGGAAUUUUGGACAAUGGGGGCAACCCUGAUCCACCCAUUUCGCGUGGGUGAAGAAGGCCUUCGGGUUGUAAAGCCCCUUUCGGCCGGAACGAAACGGGGUGGGGCUAAUACCCUUUUUCUUAUGACGGUACCGGAAGAAAGAAGCACCGGCUAACUACGUGCCAGCAGCCGCGGUAAUACGUAGGGUGUCGAAGCGUUAAUUGGGAAUUACAUGGGCGCAAAGCGUGCGGCAGGCCGGCUAUUUUAGCCACGAUGUGGAAAUUCCCCGGGGCUUAACCUGGGGAACUGCAUUUGGAACUGGAUGGCUUAGAGUGCGGGCAGAAGGGAGGUGGAAUCCCCACGUGUAGCAGUGAAAUGCGUAGAGAUGUGGAGGAACACCGAUGGCGAAGGCAGCCUUCUGGGCUGACACUGACGCUCAUGCACGAAAGCGUGGGGGAGCAAACAGGAUUAGAUACCCUGGUAGUCCACGCCCUAAACGAUGUCAACUGGUUGUUGGGGGAGUGAAAUCCCUUGGUAACGAAGCUAACGCGUGAAGUUGACCGCCUGGGGAGUACGGUCGCAAGAUUAAAACUCAAAUGAAUUGACGGGGAAGGGC
Molecule: ribosomal RNA, 946 nt
Filed under: uncultured bacterium
Lineage: Bacteria
Description: bacterial SSU rRNA
Rfam family: Bacterial small subunit ribosomal RNA
Source: RNAcentral